GAGGAGGCGCCGAGCAGGGCGCCGCCUGGGCCGGGCCGAGGAGCCGCCGGGCCAGGCCGAGGAGCCGCCGAGAAGCCGCGAGGUGGGGCCGGGUCGGGCCGAGGAGCCGCUGUGGAGCUGCCCGGCCAGGCCGAAGAGGUGCCGAGCAGGGCGCCGCCUGGGCCGGGCCGAGGAGCCGCUGUGGAGUCGCCGAGAAGCCGCGAGGUGGGGCCGGGCCGAGGAGGCGCUGAGCAAAGUGAAGCCUGGGCCUGGCCGAAGAGCCGCUGAGUGGGGCAGGACCGGGCCGACCGUAGGCUGUGGGGCCGCCGGCCUGGACCGAGGAGCCGCCGUGGACGCAUGCCUUAUUUACGCUGGUCAACAAGCUCCUCGGCAGGAAAGAAGUUUCAUCUGGUCAAAAGCAUCGUGCAACCUAAGGCACUGUGAAAACAGCAGAAGAGCAGCAAGAUGGGAGGUGAAGGAACCCAAAUCCUUGGAGGGCACCUAAAGUCGAGUCCCAGACUGCGUUGGUGUAGCCAGAAAGCAUCAGUGUACAGUGGGCAAGAACGCAUGGCUGAAGAAGGGAAGGUAAGGGAAGCAUGGGAGGGUAGAGAUGGCCUUGUGGGAUGGCAGGGGGGGGUGCUUGGCAGGGAGAGGGGCUUGGUGAUGGCCCUGCACUAUUUCUCUCUGACUCUUGCUCCUUCCCUCAGCUCUCUGGCCACCCUGCUCAAAGGGGUAGAAUCUAGCUCCUGGGCCACAUGCCUGAGUGCAUGAAGGACAGAUUUUAAAAGGCCCAAGGCAUGUGCAGCAGCUCAGGGCACUCCGGGGCCCAGACAAGAGCCCUUCUGGCCGUGGCACACGGCUUGACAAGCCAGCUAAAGAGGGCCUGGCUCAGGUCUGGUCCAUGCUAGAGGAGUAGAUCAAUUCCAGUAUCGCAGUAAGGGCUGUGAAACAUCCACCCCUGAGGGGCAGUGCUAAGACAACUUGCAUCCCUGUGUAGCUAGUGGAAACAUGCUGCACUAAACACUCAGCCCAGGUUGAAAGGACAGUGCCCUAUGGCCUGUACUGGUUGGCCCAGUGUAGGAACACAAAGGGUCCAGGGGGAAGCAUGCAGGCCAGCUGUUUACAGCAAGGAUACUUUGGUCCCUUUUCACACAAACACCCUGCACUGCCCUAGAGAAUCUUAUUUUAGUUCUGCCCCGGCAGGCCCGUUGGCUCUGACUGGUAAUCAGGGGAGGGGCCUUGCCCUGAUGCUGGCAUACAGCAGGAAGUGUGCUGGUGUCAAAGAGAUGCAGGAGCAGUAGCUGGGCAGGGAGGGAAGCACUUUAAUAUGCCCCCCAUACAGGCAGCAUAGAAGUGGUCUCUCUUGCUUCUUCAAAGACUUACUGUCUUUUAAAGUGGUGGAAGGGGUGAAGUUCCUCAGCUCCUUCCCAAUUUCAGCCAUUGCCACUGAAAGGGCAGGAAAGACCAGCUCUGUUCCAAAAACAGUCGUGGGGUACCUUUAAAGACUAACAGAUUUAUUUAUCACAUGAGCUUUCAUGGGUGAAAAUUCCACAAUUGUUCUGUUCCUGGCAUGUAUUACAGUUAAACUUUAAUGUUUACUUUUAAUGUGUACAGAAUCUCUUAUGCUGUAAUUCUGCUACUCAAUAAAAUUGUUG
Molecule: long non-coding RNA, 1634 nt
Filed under: Pelusios castaneus (West African mud turtle)
Lineage: Eukaryota; Metazoa; Chordata; Testudines; Pelomedusidae
Description: lncRNA (ENSPCEG00000017528.1)
Source: RNAcentral